GCAUGUCUAAGUAUGAACGCUCCUCACCGUGAAACUGCGAAUGGCUCAUUAAAUCAGUUAUAGUUUAUUUGACGGUCCCYCCCACUUGGAUACCCGUGGUAAUUCUAGAGCUAAUACAUGCCUCAAGUCCCGACUUCGCGGAAGGGACGUAUUUAUUAGAUCCAAAACCGACGCGGCCUUCUCCGGCCGUUCCCUCCGGCGAGUCAUGAUAACUGCUCGAAUCGCACGGCCUUGCGCCGGCGAUGGUUCAUUCAAGUUUCUGCCCUAUCAACUUUCGAUGGUAGGGUCUCGGCCUACCAUGGUUGCAACGGGUGACGGAGAAUUAGGGUUCGAUUCCGGAGAGGGAGCCUGAGAAACGGCUACCACAUCCAAGGAAGGCAGCAGGCGCGCAAAUUACCCAAUCCCGACUCGGGGAGGUAGUGACAAUAAAUACUGAUACCGGGCUCUUCGAGUCCGGCAAUCGGAAUGAGACCCCCUUAAAUCCUUUAUCGAUGAACAAUUGGAGGGCAAGUCUGGUGCCAGCAGCCGCGGUAAUUCCAGCUCCAAUAGCGUAUAUUAAAGUUGUUGCAGUUAAAAAGCUCGUAGUUGGAUUUCGGGUCGGGCGUCGCGGUCCGCCGCGAGGCAGGGUACUGCGUCCCGCUCCUUCUUCCCGGCGGCCCCGUCUGCUCUUGAUUGCAGCGGGCCGGGGACCUCGGGACGUUUACUGUGAAAAAAUUAGAGUGUUCAAGGCAGGCCGCGCUUGAAUACAUUAGCAUGGAAUAAUGGAAGAGGACUUG
Molecule: ribosomal RNA, 776 nt
Filed under: Chondrilla sp. CU082
Lineage: Eukaryota; Metazoa; Porifera; Demospongiae; Chondrillida; Chondrillidae
Description: SSU rRNA
Source: RNAcentral